UGGGGAAUUUUGGACAAUGGGCGCAAGCCUGAUCCAGCCAUGCCGCGUGCGGGAAGAAGGCCUUCGGGUUGUAAACCGCUUUUGUCAGGGAAGAAAUCUUCUGAGUUAAUACCUCGGGAGGAUGACGGUACCUGAAGAAUAAGCACCGGCUAACUACGUGCCAGCAGCCGCGGUAAUACGUAGGGUGCAAGCGUUAAUCGGAAUUACUGGGCGUAAAGCGUGCGCAGGCGGUUUUGUAAGACAGAGGUGAAAUCCCCGGGCUCAACCUGGGAACCGCCUUUGUGACUGCAAGGCUUGAGUGCGGCAGAGGGGGAUGGAAUUCCGCGUGUAGCAGUGAAAUGCGUAGAUAUGCGGAGGAACACCGAUGGCGAAGGCAAUCCCCUGGGCCUGCACUGACGCUCAUGCACGAAAGCGUGGGGAGCAAACAGGAUUAGAUACCCUGGUAGUCCACGCCCUAAACGAUGUCAACUGGUUGUUGGGAAGGUUCCUUCUCAGUAACGUAGCUAACGCGUGAAGUUGACCGCCUGGGGAGUACGGCCGCAAGGUUAAAACUCAAAUGAAUUGACGGGGUCAUAGCUGUUUCCUG
RNAcentral lists this ribosomal RNA (586 nucleotides) under uncultured bacterium. Its description in RNAcentral is "partial 16S ribosomal RNA". It matches the Rfam family "Bacterial small subunit ribosomal RNA", at positions 355 to 1376 of the family's 1533-position model. The record is from RNAcentral.